GAACGCUGGCGGCGGGUUUAACACAUGCAAGUCGAACGGAGAUCCAUAAGGAGCAAUCUGAGUGGAUCUUAGUGGCGGACGGGUGAGUAACGCGUGACAAUUUGCCUUCGGGUGGGGGAUAAGAGCGGGAAACCGUUGCUAAUACCGCAUACGACGUCGACCGGGCAUCCGGUUGCCGUGAAAGGAGCAAUCCGCCCAUAGAUGAGCUCGCGUCCCAUUAGCUAGUUGGUGGGGUAAAGGCCCACCAAGGCGACGAUGGGUAGCCGGACUGAGAGGUUGGCCGGCCACACUGGAACUGAGACACGGUCCAGACUCCUACGGGAGGCAGCAGUGAAGAAUAUUGGGCAAUGGGCGAAAGCCUGACGCAGCAACGCCGCGUGAGCAAGACGGCCUUCGGGUUGUAAAGCUCUGUCAGGAGGGACGAAGCCACUCGGGUGAACAGCCCAGAGGGUGACGGUACCUCCAGAGGAAGCCCCGGCUAACUACGUGCCAGCAGCCGCGGUAAUACGUAGGGGGCGAGCGUUGUCCGGAAUCAUUGGGCGUAAAGCGCGUGUAGGCGGCUCGUCAAGUCCGAUGUGAAAUCUCGGGGCUCAACCCCGAAACUGCAUUGGAAACUGGCUUGCUAGAGUCCGGAAGAGGAGAAUGGAAUUCCUGGUGUAGCGGUGAAAUGCGCAGAUAUCAGGAAGAACACCGGUGGCGAAGGCGACUUCCUGGCCCUAUACUGACGCUGAGACGCGAGAGCGUGGGUAGCAAACAGGAUUAGAUACCCUGGUAGUCCACGCCGUAAACGAUGUUCACUAGGUGUUGGGGGUAUUGACCCCCUCAGUGCCGGAGCUAACGCAUUAAGUGAACCGCCUGGGGAGUACGGUCGCAAGACUAAAACUCAAAGGAAUUGACGGGGGCCCGCACAAGCGGUGGAGCAUGUGGUUUAAUUCGAUGCAACGCGAAGAACCUUACCUGGGCUUGACAUCUGGGGAAUCCCCUGGAAACAGGGGAGUGCCUUUCGGGGAGCCCCAAGACAGGUGCUGCAUGGCUGUCGUCAGCUCGUGUCGUGAGAUGUUGGGUUAAGUCCCGCAACGAGCGCAACCCUUGUCUUUAAUUGCCAUCAUUCAGUUGGGCACUUUAAAGAGACUGCCGGUGUUAAGCCGGAGGAAGGUGGGGAUGACGUCAAGUCCUCAUGGCCUUUAUGCCCAGGGCUACACACGUGCUACAAUGGGUGGUACAAAGAGCAGCGAGCUCGCGAGAGUAAGCGAAUCUCAAAAAGCCGGUCUCAGUUCGGAUUGGGGUCUGCAACUCGACCCCAUGAAGUCGGAGUCGCUAGUAAUCGCAGAUCAGCAACGCUGCGGUGAAUACGUUCCCGGGGCUUGUACACACCGCCCGUCAAGUCAUGAAAGUCGGUAACACCCGAAGCCGGUGGCCUAACCCGUUUGGGGGGGAGCUGUCGAAGGUGGGACCGGUAAUUAGGACUAAGUCGUAACAAGGUAGCCG
Molecule: ribosomal RNA, 1488 nt
Filed under: uncultured bacterium
Lineage: Bacteria
Description: 16S ribosomal RNA
Rfam family: Bacterial small subunit ribosomal RNA
Source: RNAcentral